RNAcentral lists this transfer RNA (91 nucleotides) under Sus scrofa (pig). It matches the Rfam family "tRNA". From Rfam's summary of the family: Transfer RNA (tRNA) molecules are approximately 80 nucleotides in length. Their secondary structure includes four short double-helical elements and three loops (D, anti-codon, and T loops). Lineage: Eukaryota; Metazoa; Chordata; Mammalia; Artiodactyla; Suidae. The record is from Rfam by way of RNAcentral.
UCCCUGGUAGCCUAGUGGUUAAGGGCUCAGCAUUGUCAUUGCUGAUGCUUGAGUUACUGUUGUGGCUCAGGUUCGAUCCCUGGCCCAGGAA